This 372-nucleotide ribosomal RNA is filed under the name uncultured Porphyrobacter sp. RNAcentral describes it as "bacterial SSU rRNA". It matches the Rfam family "Bacterial small subunit ribosomal RNA", at positions 1008 to 1382 of the family's 1533-position model. The record is from RNAcentral. Lineage: Bacteria; Pseudomonadati; Pseudomonadota; Alphaproteobacteria; Sphingomonadales; Erythrobacteraceae.
GAUUUCGUUCCCUUCGGGACCUAGUGACAGGUGCCGCAUGGCUGUCGUCAGCUCGUGUCGUGAGAUGUUGGGUUAAGUCCCGCAACGAGCGCAACCCUCGUCCUUAGUUGCCAUCAUUAAGUUGGGCACUUUAAGGAAACUGCCGGUGAUAAGCCGGAGGAAGGUGGGGAUGACGUCAAGUCCUCAUGGCCCUUACAGGCUGGGCUACACACGUGCUACAAUGGCAUCUACAGUGGGCAGCUAUUCCGCAAGGAUGCGCUAAUCUCCAAAAGAUGUCUCAGUUCGGAUUGUCCUCUGCAACUCGAGGGCAUGAAGGCGGAAUCGCUAGUAAUCGCGGAUCAGCAUGCCGCGGUGAAUACGUUCCCAGGCCUU